Molecule: transfer RNA, 89 nt
Filed under: Lentisphaerota bacterium
Lineage: Bacteria; Pseudomonadati; Lentisphaerota
Description: Lentisphaerae bacterium (anaerobic digester metagenome) tRNA-Ser
Rfam family: tRNA
About the family: Transfer RNA (tRNA) molecules are approximately 80 nucleotides in length. Their secondary structure includes four short double-helical elements and three loops (D, anti-codon, and T loops). Further hydrogen bonds mediate the characteristic L-shaped molecular structure. tRNAs have two regions of fundamental functional importance: the anti-codon, which is responsible for specific mRNA codon recognition, and the 3' end, to which the tRNAs corresponding amino acid is attached (by aminoacyl-tRNA synthetases). tRNAs cope with the degeneracy of the genetic code in two manners: having more than one tRNA (with a specific anti-codon) for a particular amino acid; and 'wobble' base-pairing, i.e. permitting non-standard base-pairing at the 3rd anti-codon position.
Source: RNAcentral
GGAGAGGUGGCCGAGUGGUCGAAGGCGCAGCACUGGAAAUGCUGUGUACCCGACGGGUACCGAGGGUUCAAAUCCCUCUCUCUCCGCCA